CGUAGGUGGCAAGCGUUGUCCGGAAUUAUUGGGCGUAAAGCGCGCGCAGGCGGUCCUUUAAGUCUGAUGUGAAAGCCCACGGCUCAACCGUGGAGGGUCAUUGGAAACUGGGGGACUUGAGUACAGAAGAGAAGAGUGGAAUUCCACGUGUAGCGGUGAAAUGCGUAGAGAUGUGGAGGAACACCAGUGGCGAAGGCGACUCUUUGGUCUGUAACUGACGCUGAGGCGCGAAAGCGUGGGGAGCAAACAGGAUUAGAUACCCUGGUAAUCCACGCUGUAAACGAUGAGUGCUAAGUGUUAGAGGGUUUCCGCCCUUUAGUGCUGCAGCUAACGCAUUAAGCACUCCGCCUGGGGAGUACGGCCGCAAGGCUG
This 372-nucleotide ribosomal RNA is filed under the name uncultured organism. RNAcentral's name for it is "bacterial SSU rRNA". It matches the Rfam family "Bacterial small subunit ribosomal RNA", at positions 526 to 896 of the family's 1533-position model. The record is from RNAcentral.